ACAACCACCAGCGACAUCAAUCUCUCGCUUCCUGCUCCACUUCUCGGCGCCCACAUCUCCAACUGGCUCAGGCUCCCCAUGUCCCCAGCCGGUACGGAGCUGCGGUCAGCGGAUUGUGCGGCUGAGCCAUCCUCGUGACGGUCCCGCCUCACUCACCCUCCGUCACCUCCAGCACCUUAAUCUGUUCUUCAGCAGCCGCCCGCACCUCCUGUACUGGGGAUAGGAUCCCGGUGAGCGUAUCCACUAACGCUUCCUUUAAUCCUUGUGCCACUGGACCCGGCAGCCCGGAGGCCGCACCAGCUGCCGCCGCCGCCGCCAUCUUUUCUCCCCUCAGCCCGCCAGCCCCGCGGCCGGGACCCGCCACCGAAUGACGGCCCCCGCGCGCGGCCAAUCCGCGAAGCCGCGCCUGCGCACCAGAGGCGGGCGGGAGCGGGCGGAGGGCGGGGAAUGAAUCUAAGCCUCCAGAGACAGCGCCUCCUGCUGCCUGAACGAGAACUGCACCUUUCUCUGCAAGGAUCUCUGGAUUUGUGUGAAAACUGAGCCCCAGACAGGUUAAGGGGCUUUCCUAAAGUUGCACAGUAAGUUAGCAAUCUCAUUUGGAAUAAAGUUCAUGAUAUAUGACUUUAUAUUCAUGCAUCUUUCAGGUGUUAGGAGAGAGGAGGCGGGAUGGGAAUAGAUGUAGAGGGCUUUAAGGAGAGAGGUCUGGGUCACAAAUAGCCCCUAUUUUAAACCACAUUCUUUUCCCCCCAAACACUGAAAAAAAGUUGGCUCAAGUGACUCUCUUCAUCUUAGCCUCAGGAAUCCAAAGAGGGGGGAAAAUAAACUAAAGCAAACUGGGAAGUGGAAGUGGGAAAACCACGGCCCAGUCCCUUGGUUUUCCAGCCUAGAUGAGCCCAACCUCAAAGCUGGGAAGUGGCUGGGCAGGGGAGACACCGGCAUGUGAAAGGGAGUUUCUUCCAGAGUGAGUGUUGUAUGUGACUAUUUGAGAAUGAAUCCUAUUUGUUGAAAAUGUAUAAAUUUUUUUCCCUGAGAAAUUAUGGCUGG
This 1044-nucleotide long non-coding RNA is filed under the name Homo sapiens (human). RNAcentral's name for it is "non-protein coding IPO9-AS1:5". The record is from RNAcentral. Lineage: Eukaryota; Metazoa; Chordata; Mammalia; Primates; Hominidae.